This is a non-coding RNA of Schizosaccharomyces pombe (fission yeast), 1614 nucleotides long. NCBI's taxonomy places the organism in Eukaryota, Fungi, Ascomycota, Schizosaccharomycetes, Schizosaccharomycetales, Schizosaccharomycetaceae. The record is from the annotation of a GenBank genome assembly.
AACCGUUGGCAAAACGGAAACUAGUGACCGUAUCUGGAUACUGAACGAAUGACCUUUUCCGUAAUCCACAACACAAUACACAAGUUUCUUUCUCACCGAGGUCUCGGAUUCCCUUAUUAUGAAAGAAAUGGAAAACUGUUGAAAGCUAAUGCUGCAACUUUCUUCACAAUCCGGCUAGUAUACGCUUAACGGAAACUCUGCACCUCGUACAUUUAGCAACUCUUCCUGAUUAGCAAAUUGCGUUGCAGUGUGUUAAGAAAAAAUGGACCGAUAAUUGUAAAUACAACUGAAAUAUAUAAAAAUAUAUAUAUAUAUAUAUAUAUAUAGAAAGAUAGCGUACGCACGUAUACGCAGAGAGAUUCAAGAAACAAAAACAAAGGAACAGAAAAGAAAAGAAAAAAAGUAUAUGCCACCUUUUUACACUAAAGAUGCUGAACGUAUAAAGACCCAGAUAGGUUUGUAGGUAUGUGUAUCUAUUGAAGAUUCAAAUAUUCAUCCAAAGGUGAAAUAGCCAGCAGCGUCAACAUCGGUUCUACGACUUUUUGGACCCAGAACGAGAGACGGAAUAGAAAUAGAUGGCAGGAUAAGAAUGUCUCCUAUACAUGAUAAAGCAGUGCAUUGAGUGCUUAUUCCGUUUUAUAGAAUCUCAGCAUUACACUAUGCAGGAUAAAGAUUUUUGCGGAAGAGUAAGGAUCAUUUCGGUAGAAGGUGAUAGGAAUAGGCAAGCCUCACCAUAUUAUAUAAAUAAUGUCUACCUAAAACAAAGAGGACUUGAGUGAAAUGGAUUGAAUGGAAUUUUUUUUUUCAGAUGAUGAUGGACAUGAAAAGAGAGAAUUGAGAAAACCCUCGUAUUUUUAUUCCUUCGCGAAUACACUUAAUCAGGUGCAUCAGGAUGUACAGGGUGUAAACAUAUGAUUAGUUAAAAAUGGACAAGGUGGUGAUUUCUCUACAAACGACGCAACCGGACUCAUCUUUGUGAGACAAAUGUUUACUUGACUUAAUUUUGUACUUGUUAAAUGGCUUACAUUUUGCAAUUGACAGGUUUUUACGUGUCAUCAAAGGGAAUCAAUGGAAUUUUGGCUUAGAUUGAGAGGAGGGAAGUUGGAACACUUGGAAUUUAAAGCUCGCUAGUCCCUUUAAACCGACGGGUCCGCAGCGCUGCUUAGCUUUAAAUCCCAUUUAACGUGGUACAAGAACAUGGUUGACUAUUGAUGGAUUGCGUUGAGAGAAUUCUUAUAAAUACGUAAAAAACGUUUAAUGCACCCUUGUGUGAGAGGAAUUUGAUUGCUUUAAACGCUUAUACGGAUCGGAGUCGAAAUUAAGUGCUAAAACUUCCCUAUUUGCAAACCAACUUUCUUACCUCCUUUGCCAACAAUGUAGGACUGUGAUUGGGUUAAAAGUUUUUUUUGGCCGUACUCGAAAGAGCCGUUUGACCAUUGGUCGGUAGGCGUGUAUUUGAAUAACGUCUUAAUAUGAUUCGCUAGAUAGGAAUCAACCCUAACCCUUACGACGAAAUUGCAAUAGGAGACACUUUUGGGUAUAUAAGCUGAAAGAUGGCAGGGAUGGAACGUAAUCCAGUAUUAAAACCUAUCCUGUAGAAAGGAAAAGAAAUUU